GAGCACGUAGGUGGGUUUGUAAGUCAGAUGUGAAAGCCUUCUGUUCAACGGAAGAAUUGCGUCUGAAACUGCGAGUCUUGAGUGUAGGAGGGGAGAAUGGAACUUCUGGUGGAGCGGUGAAAUGCGUAGAUAUCAGAAGGAACUCCGGUGGCGAAAGCGAUUCUCUGGCCUAUUACUGACACUCAGUGUGCGAAAGCUAGGGGAGCAAACGGGAUUAGAUACCCCGGUAGUCCUAACCGUAAACGAUGGGCACUAAGUAGAGGGGUUUU
This 269-nucleotide ribosomal RNA is filed under the name uncultured Planctomycetales bacterium. Its description in RNAcentral is "partial 16S ribosomal RNA". It matches the Rfam family "Bacterial small subunit ribosomal RNA", at positions 565 to 832 of the family's 1533-position model. Lineage: Bacteria; Pseudomonadati; Planctomycetota; Planctomycetia; Planctomycetales. The record is from RNAcentral.